This 273-nucleotide ribosomal RNA is filed under the name uncultured bacterium. RNAcentral describes it as "partial 16S ribosomal RNA". It matches the Rfam family "Bacterial small subunit ribosomal RNA", at positions 524 to 796 of the family's 1533-position model. The record is from RNAcentral.
UACGUAGGGUGCCAGCGUUAAUCGGAAUUACUGGGCGUAAAGCGUGCGCAGGCGGUUAUAUAAGACAGAUGUGAAAUCCCCGGGCUCAACCUGGGAACUGCAUUUGUGACUGUAUAGCUAGAGUACGGCAGAGGGGGAUGGAAUUCCGCGUGUAGCAGUGAAAUGCGUAGAUAUGCGGAGGAACACCGAUGGCGAAGGCAAUCCCCUGGGCCUGUACGGACGCGCAUGCAAGAAAGCGGGGGGCGAACACAGGAGGCGAUAACACCGGAGUCC